This 573-nucleotide ribosomal RNA is filed under the name uncultured bacterium. RNAcentral describes it as "bacterial SSU rRNA". It matches the Rfam family "Bacterial small subunit ribosomal RNA", at positions 821 to 1394 of the family's 1533-position model. The record is from RNAcentral.
UGUGGGGCUCAUUCACGAGUUCCGUGCCGCAGCUAACGCAUUAAGUGCCCCGCCUGGGGAGUACGGCCGCAAGGCUAAAACUCAAAGGAAUUGACGGGGGCCCGCACAAGCGGCGGAGCAUGCGGAUUAAUUCGAUGCAACGCGAAGAACCUUACCAAGGCUUGACAUGCACCGGAACUGCUCAGAGAUGGGUAGGUCUUCGGACUGGUGCACAGGUGGUGCAUGGUUGUCGUCAGCUCGUGUCGUGAGAUGUUGGGUUAAGUCCCGCAACGAGCGCAACCCUCGUCCUAUGUUGCCAGCACGUUAUGGUGGGGACUCAUAGGAGACUGCCGGGGUCAACUCGGAGGAAGGUGGGGAUGACGUCAAAUCAUCAUGCCCCUUAUGUCUUGGGCUUCACGCAUGCUACAAUGGCCGGUACAAAGGGCUGCGAUACCGCGAGGUGGAGCGAAUCCCAAAAAGCCGGUCUCAGUUCGGAUUGGGGUCUGCAACUCGACCCCAUGAAGUCGGAGUCGCUAGUAAUCGCAGAUCAGCAACGCUGCGGUGAAUACGUUCCCGGGCCUUGUACACUCCGCC